Molecule: ribosomal RNA, 281 nt
Filed under: Bacillus cereus
Lineage: Bacteria; Bacillati; Bacillota; Bacilli; Caryophanales; Bacillaceae
Description: partial 16S ribosomal RNA
Rfam family: Bacterial small subunit ribosomal RNA
Source: RNAcentral
UUUAUUGGAGAGUUUGAUCCUGGCUCAGGAUGAACGCUGGCGGCGUGCCUAAUACAUGCAAGUCGAGCGAAUGGAUUAAGAGCUUGCUCUUAUGAAGUUAGCGGCGGACGGGUGAGUAACACGUGGGUAACCUGCCCAUAAGACUGGGAUAACUCCGGGAAACCGGGGCUAAUACCGGAUAACAUUUUGAACCGCAUGGUUCGAAAUUGAAAGGCGGCUUCGGCUGUCACUUAUGGAUGGACCCGCGUCGCAUUAGCUAGUUGGUGAGGUAACGGCUCACC